AUGCAGUGGCCAUUAGUCUUGAUGAUCUCUUUUCACAGUUUGCAUACAAAGAUGGAAACUUUAGUUCCAGUAAAAGGAGAACUGAAGAUGAGAAGAUAGUCGUCAAGUCACAUGUUUGUGGCCCUCUCUCUCGAACGCUCAUCUCCAUGCAGAAGUCUUCAGAAACUGGUUCUAUGAUUGGAAAUGAGAGUCAUUUAUCACAUUGGGAAGGAGG
Molecule: unclassified non-coding RNA, 214 nt
Filed under: Hevea brasiliensis (rubber tree)
Lineage: Eukaryota; Viridiplantae; Streptophyta; Magnoliopsida; Malpighiales; Euphorbiaceae
Source: RNAcentral